Molecule: ribosomal RNA, 490 nt
Filed under: uncultured bacterium
Lineage: Bacteria
Description: partial 16S ribosomal RNA
Rfam family: Bacterial small subunit ribosomal RNA
Source: RNAcentral
AUUGAACGCUGGCGGCAGGCCUAACACAUGCAAGUCGAACGGUAACAGGAAACCGCUUGCUGUUUCGCUGACGAGUGGCGGCCGGGUGAGUAAUGUCUGGGAAACUGCCUGAUGGAGGGGGAUAACUACUGGAAACGGUAGCUAAUACCGCAUAACGUCGCAAGACCAAAGAGGGGGACCUUCGGGCCUCUUGCCAUCGGAUGUGCCCAGAUGGGAUUAGCUAGUAGGUGGGGUAACGGCUCACCUAGGCGACGAUCCCUAGCUGGUCUGAGAGGAUGACCAGCCACACUGGAACUGAGACACGGUCCAGACUCCUACGGGAGGCAGCAGUGGGGAAUAGUGCACAAUGGGCGCAAGCCUGAUGCAGCCAUGCCGCGUGUAUGAAGAAGGCCUUCGGGUUGUAAAGUACUUUCAGCGGGGAGGAAGGGAGUAAAGUUAAUACCUUUACUCAUUGACGUUACCCGCAGAAGAAGCACCGGCUAUCUCCGUG